GAUGAACGCUGGCGGCGUGCCUAAUACAUGCAAGUCGAGCGAACGGACGAGAAGCUUGCUUCUCUGAUGUUAGCGGCGGACGGGUGAGUAACACGUGGAUAACCUACCUAUAAGACUGGGAUAACUUCGGGAAACCGGAGCUAAUACCGGAUGAUAUUUUGAACCGCAUGGUUCAAAAGUGAAAGACGGUCUUGCUGUCACUUAUAGAUGGAUCCGCGCUGCAUUAGCUAGUUGGUAAGGUAACGGCUUACCAAGGCAACGAUGCAUAGCCGACCUGAGAGGGUGAUCGGCCACACUGGAACUGAGACACAGUCCAGACUCCUACGGGAGGCAGCAGUAGGGAAUCUUCCGCAAUGGGCGAAAGCCUGACGGAGCAACGCCGCGUGAGUGAUGAAGGUCUUCGGAUCGUAAAACUCUGUUAUUAGGGAAGAACAUAUGUGUAAGUAACUGUGCACAUCUUGACGGUACCUAAUCAGAAAGCCACGGCUAACUACGUG
RNAcentral lists this ribosomal RNA (497 nucleotides) under uncultured bacterium. RNAcentral's name for it is "partial 16S ribosomal RNA". It matches the Rfam family "Bacterial small subunit ribosomal RNA", at positions 28 to 507 of the family's 1533-position model. The record is from RNAcentral.